UACGGGGGGGGCAAGCGUUGUUCGGAAUUACUGGGCGUAAAGGGCUCGUAGGCGGCCAACUAAGUCAGACGUGAAAUCCCUCGGCUUAACCGGGGAACUGCGUCUGAUACUGGAUGGCUUGAGUUUGGGAGAGGGAUGCGGAAUUCCAGGUGUAGCGGUGAAAUGCGUAGAUAUCAGGAAGAACACCGGUGGCGAAGGCGGCUCGCUGGGCCAGUUCUGACACUCAUCCGCGAAAGCGUGGGGAGCAAACAGG
This 253-nucleotide ribosomal RNA is filed under the name uncultured bacterium. RNAcentral's name for it is "partial 16S ribosomal RNA". It matches the Rfam family "Bacterial small subunit ribosomal RNA", at positions 524 to 776 of the family's 1533-position model. The record is from RNAcentral.